UGUAGUGUCCUCCUUGGAAUGCUGCCCUUUUUAGGUUUGAAUUAAGGUGGAAGUUAAGUUUACAGCGCACAAGGCGAUGAUCUGUUUGGCAUUCUGCACUAGACAUCACGCAGGUGUGACGAACAUCGCGGAUAUCUCUCUGUCGGACCAAGAUAUAAUCAAUGAGGUGCCAGUGCUUGGACCUAGGAUGCAUCCAGG
Long non-coding RNA from Empidonax traillii (willow flycatcher), 198 nucleotides. RefSeq lists it as uncharacterized. The transcript is spliced from 3 exons. Lineage: Eukaryota; Metazoa; Chordata; Aves; Passeriformes; Tyrannidae. The record is from RefSeq and is a predicted model, not a curated record.